UUUGGGGAGACAAGUUCAAAGUUCUGAAAUUCUAACCUUUUAGGAAGAUUUCUGGACCCUGAAAUCUUGCCAGAGACAAACUAUGAAACCCUAGAGAGCGGUAGCAAGGAGAAUAGUAACAAGUAGUGUAAACUCUGAGAGCUGUGAAGUGUGAUGCGAAAGUUACUGAUUGCCAGGCUGCUGGAAUUUAUGGAGGGUGGGCAUUGCGAGCUGGAGGAGGGGAAGGGUGAGUCUCUGUGAGCUGUUUUCGAGGAAUGAAGGGGGAAUGAAGUAGAAUAAUGAAUAUGGCAAGAAGCAAGCAGG
Molecule: long non-coding RNA, 303 nt
Organism: Bos taurus (domestic cattle)
Lineage: Eukaryota; Metazoa; Chordata; Mammalia; Artiodactyla; Bovidae
Source: Ensembl